RNAcentral lists this long non-coding RNA (303 nucleotides) under Bubo bubo (Eurasian eagle-owl). RNAcentral describes it as "lncRNA (ENSBOBG00000011581.1)". Lineage: Eukaryota; Metazoa; Chordata; Aves; Strigiformes; Strigidae. The record is from RNAcentral.
AGCCCUCGGUCGGCGGGAAGGAGCAGCUCUGGCAUGUGGGGAUCUCCGGCACCAACAGAUAUUUUGAUGGCAUGACAAAUCAGAAAGAAGAGGAUGUACUGUAUGACUAGACACAAGAUCAGUUCUGUUUGUGGAUUACAUUUUCAGUAAGAUGACAGCUAGCAAUACUGGUGCACACCCCAUCGAGAGCAAGACAAGGCAGAGGGAAGGUAUGGGAGGCCGUACUUGCAGGAGGUGAGUGAUUUGAUACUUCUCCCAGAGCCUCUCUCAGGGUGCUCCUGCAAGGCCUUAAUUGAAACUGAA